GACGAACGCUGGCGGCGUGCUUAACACAUGCCAGUCGAACGGAAAGGCCCUGCUUUUGUGGGGUGCUCGAGUGGCGAACGGGUGAGUAACACGUGAGUAACCUGCCCUUGACUUUGGGAUGACUUCAGGAAACUGGGGCUAAUACCGGAUAGGAGCUCCUGCUGCAUGGUGGGGGUUGGAAAGUUUCGGCGGUUGGGGAUGGACUCGCGGCUUAUCAGCUUGUUGGUGGGGUAGUGGCUUACCAAGGCUUUGACGGGUAGCCGGCCUGAGAGGGUGACCGGCCACAUUGGGACUGAGAUACGGCCCAGACUCCUACGGGAGGCAGCAGUGGGGAAUAUUGCACAAUGGGCGGAAGCCUGAUGCAGCAACGCCGCGUGCGGGAUGACGGCCUUCGGGUUGUAAACCGCUUUCGCCUGUGACGAAGCGUGAGUGACGGUAAUGGGUAAAGAAGCACCGGCUAACUACGUG
RNAcentral lists this ribosomal RNA (468 nucleotides) under uncultured bacterium. RNAcentral describes it as "partial 16S ribosomal RNA". It matches the Rfam family "Bacterial small subunit ribosomal RNA", at positions 28 to 507 of the family's 1533-position model. The record is from RNAcentral.